RNAcentral lists this ribosomal RNA (253 nucleotides) under uncultured bacterium. RNAcentral's name for it is "partial 16S ribosomal RNA". It matches the Rfam family "Bacterial small subunit ribosomal RNA", at positions 524 to 776 of the family's 1533-position model. The record is from RNAcentral.
UACAGAGGGGGCAAGCGUUGUUCGGAAUUACUGGGCGUAAAGGGCACGUAGGCGGCCUUCUAAGUCGAACGUGAAAUCCCUGGGCUCAACCCAGGAACUGCGUCCGAUACUGGAAGGCUUGAAUCCGGGAGAGGGAUGCGGAAUUCCAGGUGUAGCGGUGAAAUGCGUAGAUAUCUGGAGGAACACCGGUGGCGAAGGCGGCAUCCUGGACCGGCAUUGACGCUGAGGCGCGAAAGCCAGGGGAGCAAACGGG